This 253-nucleotide ribosomal RNA is filed under the name uncultured bacterium. RNAcentral describes it as "partial 16S ribosomal RNA". It matches the Rfam family "Bacterial small subunit ribosomal RNA", at positions 524 to 776 of the family's 1533-position model. The record is from RNAcentral.
UACGAAGGGGGCUAGCGUUGUUCGGAUUUACUGGGCGUAAAGCGCACGUAGGCGGCUUUCUAAGUCAGGGGUGAAAUCCUGGAGCUCAACUCCAGAACUGCCUUUGAUACUGGAGAGCUUGAGUCCGGAAGAGGUGAGUGGAACUCCGAGUGUAGAGGUGAAAUGCGCAGAUAUCAGGAGGAACACCAAUAGCGAAGGCAGCUCGCUGGGACGUUACUGACGCUGAGGCACGAAAGCGUGGGGAGCAAACAGG